Non-coding RNA from Lentinus tigrinus ALCF2SS1-7, 112 nucleotides. NCBI's taxonomy places the organism in Eukaryota, Fungi, Basidiomycota, Agaricomycetes, Polyporales, Polyporaceae. The record is from the annotation of a GenBank genome assembly.
GGUGAGAUGGCCGAGCGGUCUAAGGCGCCAGACUAAGGUUAGGUGUUUGAGAUUCAAACCCACCGCACAUAUCUGGUCCGAAAGGGCGUGGGUUCGAAUCCCACUCUCAUCA